UCUCCGUAGGUGAACCAGCGGAGGGAUCAUUACCGAGUGCAAACUCAUAACCCUUUGUGAACCUAUAUCUGUUGCUUCGGCGGCUCGCUCUCGGGCGAGCCCGCCGGUAAUAUCAGUAUCUCUGUUUGAACCCGACGAUACUUCCGAGUGUUCUUAGCGAACAGUUAAAACUUUUAACAACGGAUCUCUUGGCUCUA
This 197-nucleotide unclassified non-coding RNA is filed under the name plant metagenome. RNAcentral's name for it is "partial contains small subunit ribosomal RNA, internal transcribed spacer 1, and 5.8S ribosomal RNA". The record is from RNAcentral.